RNAcentral lists this ribosomal RNA (486 nucleotides) under uncultured bacterium. RNAcentral describes it as "partial 16S ribosomal RNA". It matches the Rfam family "Bacterial small subunit ribosomal RNA", at positions 28 to 507 of the family's 1533-position model. The record is from RNAcentral.
GACGAACGCUGGCGGCGUGCUUAACACAUGCAAGUCGAACGCUGAAGACCUAGCUUUUGUUGGGUUGGAUGAGUGGCGAACGGGUGAGUAACACGUGAGUAACCUGCCCUCUUCUUUGGGAUAACGCCCGGAAACGGGUGCUAAUACUGGAUAUUCACUGAUCUUCGCAUGGGGGUUGGUGGAAAGGUUUGUUCUGGUGGGGGAUGGGCUCGCGGCCUAUCAGCUUGUUGGUGGGGUGAUGGCCUACCAAGGCUUUGACGGGUAGCCGGCCUGAGAGGGUGACCGGUCACAUUUGGACUGAGAUACGGCCCAGACUCCUACGGGAGGCAGCAGUGGGGAAUAUUGCACAAUGGGCGAAAGCCUGAUGCAGCGACGCCGCGUGAGGGAUGGAGGCCUUCGGGUUGUAAACCUCUUUCGCUCAUGGUCAAGCCGCAACUGUGGGUUGUGGUGAGGGUAGUGGGUAAAGAAGCGCCGGCUAACUACGUG